AUUGAACGCUGGCGGCAGGCCUAACACAUGCAAGUCGAGCGCGCGGCGCACGGGUGAGUAAAGUCUGGGAGACUGCCUGAUGGAGCGGGAUAACUCUUGGAAACGGUAGCUCUUACACCGUACCAUCAGAUGUGCCCAGAUAGGAUUUGAUAGUAGGUGUGGUAAGGGCUCACCGAGGCGACGCUCCCUCGCUUGGCUGAGAGGGGGACCAGCCACACGUGAACUGAGACACGGUCCAGACUCCUACGGGAGGCAGCAUAGGGGAAGAUUGCACAAUGGGCGCAAGCCUGAUGCAGCCAUGCAGCGAGUAUGAAGGGGGCCUUCGGGUUGUAAAGGACUUUCAGCGGGGAGGCGUUACCCGCAGAAGAAGCACCGGCUAACUCCGUGCAGGCAGCCGCGGUAAUUC
Molecule: ribosomal RNA, 406 nt
Filed under: uncultured bacterium
Lineage: Bacteria
Description: partial 16S ribosomal RNA
Rfam family: Bacterial small subunit ribosomal RNA
Source: RNAcentral